ACUAUUUUGGCAGAAAAGUGCAAUGGAUUUAGAAUCUAAGUAUAUAGAUUAUUAUGUUCUAUAAAUAGUA
Molecule: transfer RNA, 70 nt
Filed under: Hebardina concinna
Lineage: Eukaryota; Metazoa; Arthropoda; Insecta; Blattodea; Blattidae
Description: tRNA-Leu
Rfam family: tRNA
About the family: Transfer RNA (tRNA) molecules are approximately 80 nucleotides in length. Their secondary structure includes four short double-helical elements and three loops (D, anti-codon, and T loops).
Source: RNAcentral